CCUCGGGAGGCAGCAGUGGGGAAUAUUGGACAAUGGGCGAAAGCCUGAUCCAGCAAUGCCGCGUGAGUGAUGAAGGCCUUCGGGUCGUAAAGCUCUUUUACCAGGGAUGAUAAUGACAGUACCUGGAGAAUAAGCUCCGGCUAACUCCGUGCCAGCAGCCGCGGUAAUACGGGAGGGAGCUAGCGUUGUUCGGAAUUACUGGGCGUAAAGAGUACGUAGGCGGUUAUUCAAGUCAGAGGUGAAAGCCCGGGGCUCAACCCCGGAACUGCCUUUGAAACUAGAUAACUAGAGUCUUGGAGAGGUUAGUGGAAUUCCGAGUGUAGAGGUGAAAUUCGUAGAUAUUCGGAAGAACACCAGUGGCGAAGGCGACUAACUGGACAAGUACUGACGCUGAGGUACGAAAGCGUGGGGAGCAAACAGGAUUAGAUACCCUGGUAGUCCACGCCGUAAACGAUGAUAACUAGUUGUUCGGUCACUUGGUGACUGAGUGACGCAGCUAACGCAUUAAGUUAUCCGCCUGGGGAGUACGGUCGCAAGAUUAAAACUCAAAAGGAAAUUGACGG
RNAcentral lists this ribosomal RNA (563 nucleotides) under uncultured bacterium. RNAcentral's name for it is "bacterial SSU rRNA". It matches the Rfam family "Bacterial small subunit ribosomal RNA", at positions 339 to 916 of the family's 1533-position model. The record is from RNAcentral.